UUAAUUAUAGUUUAUCUUAAAAUAUUAAAUUGCAAGUUUAAAGAAAUGGGCAAAAUUAAUUAAUU
RNAcentral lists this transfer RNA (65 nucleotides) under Lepidotrigona terminata. Its description in RNAcentral is "tRNA-Cys". The record is from RNAcentral. Lineage: Eukaryota; Metazoa; Arthropoda; Insecta; Hymenoptera; Apidae.